Long non-coding RNA from Passer domesticus (house sparrow), 882 nucleotides. RefSeq lists it as uncharacterized. The transcript has 4 exons. NCBI's taxonomy places the organism in Eukaryota, Metazoa, Chordata, Aves, Passeriformes, Passeridae. The record is from RefSeq and is a predicted model, not a curated record.
AUAAAAACCUUCUUCCAUCAAGUUCUUAUCAACCUAUAUGAGAAUUUGAGUGUUUUUGAAUUGGUGAGAAUACAAACUGCAUAUUUACAUCUGAGCUCUUUAAAGGUCGUGGUUCAGAUACACAAGCAAAUUAUUGUGCUUUUGCAAGCUGACCUGCCACAGUUGGCUGUGUUUGUUACAAAUGUGAUAUAAUGCAGCACAGAGGCUGAUGCUAUGCUGCAGAAGCUGUUGGAUGCAGUGGAUGAGGAUCGGAAGUCAUCUCCAUAAAACUACUAACUUUGAUAAGCUCCAGACUAAGACACCCAGAUUUAGUGCUCACAUGCAUUCAAGAUUCUGUUACAGGCAAUGUGUGUCUGGACAGUCACAAAGGGAUGGAAUAGAGAAUGUCUUCAGCUGGACCUUUGUCUCUGAGGCAGGGGCGCUGUCAAUAGUCAAUAGAGAGAGGGGGUCACUUGCAAAUAACAUUUUUAUGCCACUUAUCUUGAGCCAAGCUGGGUUGCAAUCUGGCCCAUAAUUUGGAACAAUGCAAGAAUUCACAUAUACCUUCAUGUGGUUUUGAUGAAGCUGAACCUGAUCUGUGGAUCAAGGGUCAUCUGCAGUAAUAACUUUUGCAAGUAAAAUCGGAAGUCCAGAGGCAAACAAGAACAAGGCUCUCCCUUCCUUCUCCCACAUCAUCAGUACUGAGGGAGCUGAAUUGACAUUCCUGUCCUGGCAUGCUCUGAUUUUUAAACCUUCAAAAAGUUUUCAGCUUUCAGUAAAGCAGGGACUGUAGUUGUGAAUAAUUUAGCUGGUGGGUUUUGCACUCAUUCUUGAAUCACUGGCUUUGAGGAAAUCCUGCCAGAAGUCAGUGGAACUGGACUCACACACUGGUGAGGAACCCAG